Prunus avium (sweet cherry) is the source of this 537-nucleotide non-coding RNA. Lineage: Eukaryota; Viridiplantae; Streptophyta; Magnoliopsida; Rosales; Rosaceae. The record is from RefSeq and is a predicted model, not a curated record.
UCACGUGAUGAGAAAGAUAGACACAUAAAAUUAUAUAGAAACCUGUAGAGAGGAAGUGUUUCUCCAAAAAGUGGGCAUUAAAGAGAAGUCAGAGGGGGUGGUGGUCUAUAAGGCUCAUAAGUAUUGCGUUGUAAGCCUUCCAAGUUCUAUAAACGCUUACAUUGUGAGCUCCAACUCCUCCAACCGUUUUGAUUCAUUCAUAUUACCUCUCCCACUUUGUUCUUUCCAAACUCACUUCAUCUCCAUGAUCUCUCUCUAGCUCUCUCUCUCUCUCUUUCUCUCUCUCUCUCUCUCUCAUAUUAGCUAGACUUCAAGUAUUUUUCACUCUCAAAUCUCAACCUUUCAAUCUAAAACUUUGUUUUGCCAAAAACACAGGUUUGGUAGAGUUGAAAUGAUGAUGCUGGGAUUGGAGAGGUUGGUGUUGAAUUUGAAAUCCAAGUUGAGGUCUUUGAAGGUGAACAAGAAGCCUUAUGACAAGAUUGAAAAGAGUGAGAGCAUGAGAGUUGAAAUAAGGAGCAAGAAGGCCAGAAAGCUCAU